AUAUCAAUAAGCGGAGGAAAAGAAACCAACCGGGAUUGCCUUAGUAACGGCGAGUGAAGCGGCAACAGCUCAAAUUUGAAAUCUGGCCCCCACGGGUCCGAGUUGUAAUUUGUAGAGGAUGCUUCGGGCAAGGUUGUGGUCUAAGUUCCUUGGAACAGGGCGUCAGAGAGGGUGAGAGUCCCGUCUUUAACCGCGUACCGCGUCCAUGUGAAGCUCCUUCGACGAGUCGGGUUGUUUGGGAAUGCAGCUCAAAAUGGGUGGUAAAUUUCAUCUAAAGCUAAAUAUUGGCCAGAGACCGAUAGCGCACAAGUAGAGUGAUCGAAAGAUGAAAAGCACUUUGAAAAGAGAGUUAAACAGCAUGUGAAAUUGUUGAAAGGGAAGCGCUUGCAGCCAGAUUUGUGGGCGGUAAUUCAGCUGUUAUUUUUAACAGUGCACUUUGCCGUUUUCAGGCCAGCAUCGGUUCGGGGUAGCCAGUUAAAGGCCCUGGGAAUGUACCAACCCUCCGGGGUUGACUUAUAGCCCGGGGCGCCAUCUGGCUCGCCUGGACCGAGGCACGCGUUCUGCACGGAUGCUGGCGUAAUGGCUGUAAGCGACCCGUCUUGAAACACGGACCAAGGAGUCUAACAUCUAUGCGAGUGUUAGGGUGUCAAACCCCUGCGCGUAAUGAAAGUGAACGGAGGUAGGAGCCCCCGGGCGCACUAUCGACCGAUCCUGAUGUUUUCGGAUGGAUUUGAGUAAGAGCAUAGCUGUUGGGACCCGAAAGAUGGUGAACUAUGCGUGUAUAGGGUGAAGCCAGAGGAAACUCUGGUGGAGGCUCGCAGCGGUUCUGACGUGCAAAUCGAUCGUCAAAUACGCGUAUAGGGGCGAAAGACUAAUCGAACCAUUGUAGCCAGAGUUUUAACCAGGUGGUUCUACUUUUCUGAUACAGCCCGGCGCGGCCUGGGUUACACCGUUGGUCUGGCGGGGACUCCUUUGUCGAGACCCGCAGCAGCUUUUAACGGGGGCUGUCCACAGACUAUGGAGCGGUGGUCGGCGGCCACGUCGAUCAAAAUAUAGCCGAGAGAAAGAUGAUGCACGGUGGAAGCCUGUCAUCGUUCUUAACGCUGGUAGCUGGUUCCUGCCGAAGUUUCCCUCAGGAUAGCAGUAACGUUUUCAGUUUUAUGAGGUAAAGCGAAUGAUUAGAGGCCUUGGGGUUGAAACAACCUUAACCUAUUCUCAAACUUUAAAUAUGUAAGAAGCCCUUGUUACUUGGUUGAACGUGGGCACUUGAAUGUAUCGUUACUAGUGGGCCAUUUUUGGUAAGCAGAACUGGCGAUGCGGGAUGAACCGAACGUGAGGUUAAGGUGCCGGAAUACACGCUCAUCAGAUACCACAAAAGGUGUUAGUUCAUCUAGACAGCCGGACGGUGGCCAUGGAAGUCGGAAUCCGCUUAGGAGUGUUACGCGCUCCUGGUGGACGUAUGGUUGAGAUUGUCCCUGAUCUCGACCGUGGCGAUAGGGAUUCUUAUCCCGACAGUUUCCAAAUUGCAGGACAACUGCAAACCCGGGUCGCGUGACCUCGGUCUACAGACUACGUGAAACUACCCCCAAAAGUUUGGGGGCUGGAAUAGUCGUCGUUAAAGAUGGUUGUAUCUUUUAACGAUUUCUGGUGUAACAACUCACCGGCCGAAUGAACUAGCCCUGAAAAUGGAUGGCGCUCAAGCGUGUUACCCAUACCUCGCCGUUAAAGUUUUAAGGAUGCUUUAACGAGUAGGCAGGCGUGGAGGUUUGUGACGAAGCCUUGGGGGUGACCCCGGGUCGAACAACCUCUAGUG
RNAcentral lists this ribosomal RNA (1813 nucleotides) under Lithothelium immersum. RNAcentral describes it as "LSU rRNA". It matches the Rfam family "Eukaryotic large subunit ribosomal RNA", at positions 40 to 1444 of the family's 3401-position model. Lineage: Eukaryota; Fungi; Ascomycota; Eurotiomycetes; Pyrenulales; Pyrenulaceae. The record is from RNAcentral.